UAAGGAAUAUUGGUCAAUGGACGCAAGUCUGAACCAGCCAUGCCGCGUGAAGGAUGAAGGUCCUCUGGAUUGUAAACUUCUUUUAUCUGGGACGAAAACGGGAUUUUUAUCUCAAUUGACGGUACCAGAGGAAUAAGCACCGGCUAACUCCGUGCCAGCAGCCGCGGUAAUACGGAGGGUGCAAGCGUUAUCCGGAUUCACUGGGCUUAAAGGGUGCGUAGGUGGGCAGGUAAGUCAGUGGUGAAAUCUCCGGGCUUAACCCGGAAACUGCCGUUGAUACUAGUUGUCUUGAAUAUUGUGGAGGUAAGCGGAAUAUGUCAUGUAGCGGUGAAAUGCUUAGAUAUGACAUAGAACACCAAUUGCGAAGGCAGCUUACUACACAAUCAUUGACGCUGAGGCACGAAAGCGUGGGGAUCAAACA
Molecule: ribosomal RNA, 421 nt
Filed under: uncultured bacterium
Lineage: Bacteria
Description: bacterial SSU rRNA
Rfam family: Bacterial small subunit ribosomal RNA
Source: RNAcentral